This 584-nucleotide ribosomal RNA is filed under the name Protubera nipponica. RNAcentral describes it as "eukaryotic LSU rRNA". It matches the Rfam family "Eukaryotic large subunit ribosomal RNA", at positions 43 to 626 of the family's 3401-position model. Lineage: Eukaryota; Fungi; Basidiomycota; Agaricomycetes; Phallales; Phallaceae. The record is from RNAcentral.
UCAAUAAGCGGAGGAAAAGAAACUAACAAGGAUUCCCCUAGUAACGGCGAGUGAAGCGGGAAGAGCUCAAAUUUGUAAUCUGGCGGUCUCGCGGCCGUCCGAGUUGUAAUCUGGAGAAGCGUUUUCGGUGCCGGCCCGCGUACAAGUCCCCUGGAACGGGGCGUCGCAGAGGGUGAGAAUCCCGUCUCUGACGCGGCACGCCGGCGCCGUGCGAUGCGCUCUCGAAGAGUCGAGUUGUUUGGGAAUGCAGCUCAAAACGGGUGGUAAAUUCCAUCUAAAGCUAAAUACUGGCGAAAGACCGAUAGCGAACAAGUACCGUGAGGGAAAGAUGAAAAGCACUUUGGAAAGAGAGUCAAACAGUACGUGAAAUUGUUGAAAGGGAAACGCUUGAAGUCAGUCGCGUCUCUCGGGACUCAGUCGGACCCUAGGGUCCGACGCACUUCCCGAGUCGGACGGGCCAGCGUCGAUUUCUAUCGCCGUAAAAAGGUGUGAGGAACGUGGCACCUUCGGGUGUGUUAUAGCCUCGCGUCGUAUGCGGCGGUCGGGAUCGAGGAACGCAGCGCGCGCCCUAAGGCACGGGGUUC